Long non-coding RNA from Dermacentor andersoni, 829 nucleotides. RefSeq lists it as uncharacterized. Lineage: Eukaryota; Metazoa; Arthropoda; Arachnida; Ixodida; Ixodidae. The record is from RefSeq and is a predicted model, not a curated record.
UCUUCAAGAAAACAAAAGAAACUAAAUCUUACCAGCUGAGUAGGUUAUUUUUUCAGACUAGGAGCUUGUAUGCCACAGUGCUUCGGGUAAGUUACAACAGCCAUAAUGUCUUAAAAAUUUAGGCAUUGAGCGAAAAGAUGAUCACAAAAAAGUGUACACAUGGAUGCCAUAUGGGCUGUUCAUUUGGCGGUUGCCUUUUCAUGCUACCUAAUGUGUCUUUAGUUAAGCACAAGCUUGUUCAGCCACAAGACCUCUUAAGAUAACUUGUUCUUGGGCUAGUUGGUUGAUACUUACUGAAGCCAUUGUAGCAUAUUGUAGCCAUUGCAUUCCAAUGGCUUCACCAAAUCAUCUUGCAGUGAAGGUUCCUUUGCAUGGCUCAUAUGUUUUGCAAUAAUUCUGCAAAGUUAGGCGAUUGUGCAUUGAAAGUGGUUGUAAUGCUGUCAAAUUCUUCUUCACCUUAAUCCUUUCAGGCAACCACCAAUUACACAUAGCUUCGACUAAAUAUUGCCAAAAAGUGCAAGGAUCGGGAACAUGUCGGGUGGUCUACUUCGCAGUUCACACAGUGGGAUGUGCCAGAACUGUUAUCGGAGGGGUGACCUUUAUCACCACAUUUUGUGCAGCACCAAAGCAUGGCCAGAAACUGAGUGAAGACACGGCCGACAGCAUCGAAAUUGGAUGCGAAAUUUUCUGCAGCUGGCGGAAAUUUUGCUUGUCGCCCGGAAGUCUGCGCUGCAGCCUGCCAUUAAUGUGUAACUGCAUAACAACAGCAACUAGUAUGCCUGCCUCAAUCUGAAUUUGCUCUUGCUACUUGCUCUCCUUUGUGACAGCA